This 815-nucleotide ribosomal RNA is filed under the name uncultured Actinomycetes bacterium. Its description in RNAcentral is "bacterial SSU rRNA". It matches the Rfam family "Bacterial small subunit ribosomal RNA", at positions 335 to 1167 of the family's 1533-position model. Lineage: Bacteria; Bacillati; Actinomycetota; Actinomycetes. The record is from RNAcentral.
ACUCCUACGGGAGGCAGCAGUGGGGAAUAUUGCACAAUGGGCGAAAGCCUGAUGCAGCAACGCCGCGUGAGGGAUGACGGCCUUCGGGUUGUAAACCUCUUUUAGUAAGGAAGAAGAAGUGACGGUACUUGCAGAAAAAGCACCGGCUAACUACGUGCCAGCAGCCGCGGUAAUACGUAGGGUGCAAGCGUUGUCCGGAAUUAUUGGGCGUAAAGAGCUCGUAGGCGGUUUGUCGCGUCUGCUGGAAAACCGGAGGCUCAACCUCCGGCCUGCAGUGGGUACGGGCAGACUAGAGUGCGGUAGGGGAGAUUGGAAUUCCUGGUGUAGCGGUGGAAUGCGCAGAUAUCAGGAGGACCACCGAUGGCGAAGGCAGAUCUCUGGGCCGUAACUGACGCUGAGGAGCGAAAGCAUGGGGAGCGAACAGGAUUAGAUACCCUGGUAGUCCAUGCCGUAAACGUUGGGAACUAGAUGUAGGGGCCAUUCCACGGUUUCUGUGUCGCAGCUAACGCAUUAAGUUCCCCGCCUGGGGAGUACGGCCGCAAGGCUAAAACUCAAAGGAAUUGACGGGGGCCCGCACAAGCGGCGGAGCAUGCGGAUUAAUUCGAUGCAACGCGAAGAACCUUACCAAGGCUUGACAUGAACGAGAACGGGCCAGAAAUGGUCAACUCUUUGGACUCGUUUACAGGUGGUGCAUGGUUGUCGUCAGCUCGUGUCGUGAGAUGUUGGGUUAAGUCCCGCAACGAGCGCAACCCUCGUUCUAUGUUGCCAGCACGUUAUGGUGGGAACUCAUAGGAGACUGCCGGGGUCAACUCGGA